This 2203-nucleotide long non-coding RNA is filed under the name Marmota monax (woodchuck). The record is from RNAcentral. Lineage: Eukaryota; Metazoa; Chordata; Mammalia; Rodentia; Sciuridae.
UGAGCACACAGCAGAAAAGGCAUCUAAUUCAAUGUCAAACAUCCAUUACUACACAUUUUUCAAGGAAUUUCUGGCUGCUCACAGGCCUCCUGUUGCCUUAGUAAGAACUCUCCUCUCUUUUGCAAACCCUCUCAGGAACAACAGUGUUUCCUAUCCAACCUUUCAUCACCUCCCUUAGAAAGAACUUGCGAGAAAAUUCUAUUGUGUUCUUCUGCAGAGCAAACUUCCUCUAUGACAGCUUUGCCCAUGCUGGGGUGGAGGCAGAGCUGACCCACAUUUUAUUACUGAAUGACCAAAAAGUGUUUUUUCCAAAACAAAGGAACAAUUCCAUUCUUAGAAGGAAUGUUAUCUUCCUCCAAAGUCAUUUAGGUCAAAUGACUGCCACCAUUAAAAAUAUUAUUUUCUUCCUGUCAGAUCUGCAUCAGGAAUAAUUAUCAGAAAUUGAAAGAGACAAUAGUUUGAACAAGGUAAAAACAUUGGCCAGGAUUUGCUUCCCAUCUUAUUUGGCCCAGAACUUCUACAUUAAAUGUCGAUCACUAUUCUAAAUAUAAUGAUGGUUCAUAUUCGCUGAGCACUUACUGUGGGUCAGUCCCUGUGUCAAGUGACCUACCUACAUUGUCUCAUUCAUCCUUAAAGAAAAAUUUCUAUGCAUAAGACACGACUAUGAACCCUAUUUUAAAGACUGCCCAAAGACAUUCUUUAACUUUCUGAAGGCAACAGGCAGUCAGAACCAGCUUGAAUCUGGGUCGAAGACAACAAAACCUGUGUUUUUAUUCUUCACCAUCCACGUCCCAAUCCUGACAUGAAAACAGCUCGGUGCACAGAUCAAUACAUUCUCAUUCAAAUUUUGUUUUACAUGUUACAGGCAGAAAUAGAGCUAGUUAUAUCUUUGAGUGAUAAAUCACAUUUGAGUAUGGCAUUAUCAAGAUAAAUAAGCAUUUCUGUAUACGACCAGUGUUAUCUACCCUGGCUUUAAACAUUGCUGGCUAUCAUUCCUCCACUCAGCCACACUAUAAUAUCAGUCCUGACAAUGCUUCACACAAAGUAUGUAACAUCCAAGGGUAAACCAAUCUCCAGACUCCUUGGGGAGGAAGGUUAUGUCUUAUACUCUUACACAAUCCAGAAAUAAACAAUUUUCACAUGAGUCAAACUGAAGCCAAUCAUAAAGAAUCUUAUCAAGGGCUCCGGCAAUUAUCCAUCUACUCUUUUCCCUUGACAACUUAUCAAAGUCAGUGUAGUCUCAAGGGUAAAGUUUGAAUCAGAGCUGCUGGAAGAAAAGAAAAAAAGUGCCCUUGAAGCUUGGAACUUCACAAGACCACGCUCCAAUGAACUUGUCCUCCAAAACAGCCUGUUAGACCACAUUACAGGUUCCCAGUAGGAACAGUGCUGGUCCUAGAUGGCAUUUUGAAAACACAUAGGGAUACCUGGGGUUGUCACAAUGAUUGGGGAAAGUGUUACUGGCAUUUAUUAGGCAGAGGCCAGGCCUUUAGAAUUUUCAUGUAGGUGAUAACCCUAUUUAUAAUCAUUAAGUGUAGAAUAUAACUCCAAUUUAUUUUAAAACUCAAAGUAUUUUUCCAUGAUUUUAACACAAACUGGAUUUUGCAGGAAUGCAAUUGCCAUGUAGACCAAGGGAAGAUUUUAGGUCUUUUGUUUGGAACUUUACCAAAUGUUGUCGCCAUUUUAGAAAAUCCGCACCAACAAUGGCAAUAUUGAUUGUGCUAUCUGAAACUCUUCAGUCUGUACCUAGCAGUCUGCACAGGCAGUUUUCACAUUCACGAUUCCCUACACGGGUGUAAACAUCUGACAACUUCAUUAUGUUUUCUAGUAGAGUUGUGUCUGAGCAUUUCUAUCUUAUGAUGCAUGUUUUUUUAUUACAAACUCUUUUCCUUUAAUUUCUCCUUUAUAUUACAAUCUAAGCAUGGCUCUGAUUUGUCAUGGUUGUUAAAAUUGUGUAUUUCAAUGUAAUCUAUGAAUCUCACUUUGGAAAUUAAAAUGUCUGUCACAAAAUGUUCAUUAUAAAAAGUGGAGCUUUGGAUCUGACAGGGCUGAAUCACUGGGAUAUCAAUUUUGACACUCCCUGGGUCACAAUGACAGAUAGAUGGCAGAGCUUUUGCUCCCUUAGUCAUGAGGAAUCCUAAGUACAGGACUGAACUAAAAACUGGCCUCUUCCUCACCUGUUUAUGGAUAGAGAUUAAGCCUCUUU